Molecule: non-coding RNA, 109 nt
Organism: Acanthosepion pharaonis
Lineage: Eukaryota; Metazoa; Mollusca; Cephalopoda; Sepiida; Sepiidae
Source: the annotation of a GenBank genome assembly
UUAUGGCCAUGUCACGUUGAAACACCGGGUCUUGUUCGAUCACCGAAGUUAAGCAACGUCAAGCCUGAUCAGUACCUAGAUGCGUAACCACUUGGGAAUACCAGGUACU